CGCGCCCCACGCGCCCUAGGGUUACUGUCAACAGGUUCUUCAGUUUUGCUCGUCCGGCGACGCCCCUGUUUGGCUCCAGUUUUGUUGCAGCUGGUCAACAGUCUCUUUUCUUGCGCGGGCGUGCCAGCACCGUUCGGGUGCGGUCGUCGGGGGUGUCCCUUGACCUGACUUCUUUCAAGAGAUUGUGGACGAGGAGAGCACCAACCUCAUCAUGGGAUUCUUUGUGCCUCGUGGCGAGGACUUUUGCUGAGCUUCUUGAAAAUCACAAUCGAUACUCGAUGUUGUAGAUCGAGCAGAGCGAGAACCACCGGGAAAUGAGGAGAACUUGCUAAAGCGUUACUUUAGCUUGGCUGGGUUGCUAGGGCGUUACCCUUGCUUGGCUGAUUCUGUAACCGUUGUGGUCGCGGCACUACCGUCGGCUCCCGAGGAGACUAGGGCCGAAGUACG
This 447-nucleotide long non-coding RNA is filed under the name Rosa chinensis. RNAcentral describes it as "sRNA RchiOBHm_Chr5g0011161". Lineage: Eukaryota; Viridiplantae; Streptophyta; Magnoliopsida; Rosales; Rosaceae. The record is from RNAcentral.